GCCGGAUGCUCCGACAUGACGCAUGUCGUGUCGGGAAAGAUUCAUCGGUAUGGGAUGGGGUCGCGUCCUAUCAGCUUGAUGGCGGGGUAACGGCCCACCAUGGCUUCGACGGGUAGCCGGCCUGAGAGGGCGACCGGCCACAUUGGGACUGAGAUACGGCCCAGACUCCUACGGGAGGCAGCAGUGGGGAAUAUUGCACAAUGGGCGCAAGCCUGAUGCAGCGACGCCGCGUGCGGGAUGACGGCCUUCGGGUUGUAAACCGCUUUUGACUGGGAGCAAGCCCUUCGGGGUGAGUGUACCUUUCGAAUAAGCACCGGCUAACUACGUGCCAGCAGCCGCGGUAAUACGUAGGGUGCAAGCGUUAUCCGGAAUUAUUGGGCGUAAAGGGCUCGUAGGCGGUUCGUCGCGUCCGGUGUGAAAGUCCAUCGCUUAACGGUGGAUCCGCGCCGGGUACGGGCGGGCUUGAGUGCGGUAGGGGAGACUGGAAUUCCCGGUGUAACGGUGGAAUGUGUAGAUAUCGG
RNAcentral lists this ribosomal RNA (521 nucleotides) under Bifidobacterium adolescentis JCM 15918. RNAcentral's name for it is "bacterial SSU rRNA". It matches the Rfam family "Bacterial small subunit ribosomal RNA", at positions 168 to 700 of the family's 1533-position model. The record is from RNAcentral. Lineage: Bacteria; Bacillati; Actinomycetota; Actinomycetes; Bifidobacteriales; Bifidobacteriaceae.